CUCUGGUUUUUUAAAGUGACAGUAAUCUCAGAAGCUAAACCUCAAAAAUGAAUUCAAGUACCCUAACUAUUAACAAAAAUGUAGCUUAUUUGUACACCACUCAGC
Nanorana parkeri is the source of this 105-nucleotide long non-coding RNA. RefSeq lists it as uncharacterized. NCBI's taxonomy places the organism in Eukaryota, Metazoa, Chordata, Amphibia, Anura, Dicroglossidae. The transcript is spliced from 3 exons. The record is from RefSeq and is a predicted model, not a curated record.